CUGUUGCCAGUUACAUGUGUCUGGCGAGACUGCCGGUAUCAAGCCGGAGGAAGGUGGGGAUGACGUCAAGUCAGCAUGACCCUUAUAUCUGGGGCUACACACACGCUACAAUGGUCGGUACAAUGCGUUGCCAAGCCGCGAGCGGAGCUAAUCGCGCAAAACCGGCCUCAGUUCGGAUAGGAGGCUGCAACCCGACUCCUUGAAGUCGGAGUUGCUAGUAAACGCCGGUCAGCUAUACGGCGUUGAAUACGGUUCCGGGGCUU
This 263-nucleotide ribosomal RNA is filed under the name uncultured bacterium. Its description in RNAcentral is "partial 16S ribosomal RNA". It matches the Rfam family "Bacterial small subunit ribosomal RNA", at positions 1105 to 1382 of the family's 1533-position model. The record is from RNAcentral.